Molecule: ribosomal RNA, 111 nt
Filed under: Caerostris darwini
Lineage: Eukaryota; Metazoa; Arthropoda; Arachnida; Araneae; Araneidae
Source: RNAcentral
AACGGCCGUACCAUGCUGAAUAUACCGGUUCUCGUUCGAUCACCGAAGUCAAGCAUCAUUGGGCGCGGUCAGUACUUGGGUGGGUGACCACCUGGGAACACCGCGGGCCGU